UUGUCUACUAAUUAUAGACCAGCAUGAAAGGCAAAAUGAGGGUCUAACUGUCUCUUAUAAUAAAUCAAUGAAACUGAUCUCCUAGUAAAAAAGCUAGAAUUACAACAUAAGACCAGAAGACCCUGUGAAGCUUAAACUAAACUAUUAAAACAAAUAAUAACUACUUUAGGUUGGGGCGACCUUGGAAAAAAAAAGAACUUCCAAACACUAUGAUCUCUACCUCAUAAACCUUAGGCCCACAAGCCAAACAACGACCCAGCAUAGCUGAAAACUGAACCAAGUUACUCCAGGGAUAACAGCGCAAUCUUCUUCAAGAGCCCAUAUCAAAAAGCAAGGUUUACGACCUCGAUGUUGGAUCAGGACAUCCUAAUGGUGCAGCCGCUAUUAAGGGUUCGUUUGUUCAACGAUU
This 409-nucleotide ribosomal RNA is filed under the name Macroprotodon brevis brevis. RNAcentral describes it as "partial 16S ribosomal RNA". It matches the Rfam family "Bacterial large subunit ribosomal RNA", at positions 1969 to 2589 of the family's 2925-position model. The record is from RNAcentral. Lineage: Eukaryota; Metazoa; Chordata; Lepidosauria; Squamata; Colubridae.